Molecule: ribosomal RNA, 490 nt
Filed under: uncultured bacterium
Lineage: Bacteria
Description: bacterial SSU rRNA
Rfam family: Bacterial small subunit ribosomal RNA
Source: RNAcentral
CUACGUGCCAGCAGCCGCGGUAAUACGGAAGGUCCGGGCGUUAUCCGGAUUUAUUGGGUUUAAAGGGAGCGUAGGCCGGGGAUUAAGUGUGUUGUGAAAUGUAGGCGCCCAACGUCUGACUUGCAGCGCAUACUGGUUCCCUUGAGUACGCGCAACGCCGGCGGAAUUCGUCGUGUAGCGGUGAAAUGCUUAGAUAUGACGAAGAACCCCGAUUGCGAAGGCAGCCGGCGGGAGCGCAACUGACGCUGAAGCUCGAAGGUGCGGGUAUCGAACAGGAUUAGAUACCCUGGUAGUCCGCACGGUAAACGAUGGAUGCCCGUUGUCAGGCUGUUUCAGCCUGGUGACCAAGCGAAAGCAUUAAGCAUCCCACCUGGGGAGUACGCCGGCAACGGUGAAACUCAAAGGAAUUGACGGGGGCCCGCACAAGCGGAGGAACAUGUGGUUUAAUUCGAUGCAACGCGAAGAACCUUACCUACUCUUGACAUCCAGA